This 491-nucleotide ribosomal RNA is filed under the name uncultured bacterium. RNAcentral describes it as "bacterial SSU rRNA". It matches the Rfam family "Bacterial small subunit ribosomal RNA", at positions 903 to 1397 of the family's 1533-position model. The record is from RNAcentral.
AAAGGAAUUGACGGGGGCCCGCACAAGCGGUGGAGCAUGUGGUUUAAUUCGAUGAUACGCGAGGAACCUUACCAGGGUUUGACAUAUACUGGAAGACGCGUGAAAGCGCGUCGCUGCUUGCAGCCGGUAAACAGGUGCUGCAUGGCUGUCGUCAGCUCGUGCUGUGAAGUGUGAGAUUAAGUUCUUCAACGAGCGCAACCCCUGCCUCCCGUUGCCACCAUUCAGUUGGGCACUCAGGAGGGACCGCCGGCGACAAGCCGGAGGAAGGCGGGGACGACGUCAAGUCAUCACGGCCCUUAUACCCUGGGCCACACACGUGCUACAAUGGCCGGUACAGAGCGCAGCGAGGCCGCGAGGCCAAGCGAACCGCGAAAGCCGGUCACAGUACGGACUGGAGUCUGCAACUCGACUCCACGAAGUUGGAAUCGCUAGUAAUCGCACAUCAGCAUGGUGCGGUGAAUACGUUCCCGGGCCUUGUACACACCGCCCGU